GAUCAUGGCUCAGGAUGAACGCUGGCGGCGUGCUUAACACAUGCAAGUCGAACGAAGACAUCUGAGUGCUUGCACUUGGGAUGGACUGAGUGGCGGACGGGUGAGUAACGCGUGGGUAACCUGCCUUAUACAGGGGGAUAACAGUUGGAAACGACUGCUAAUACCGCAUAAGCGCACGGUAUCGCAUGAUACAGUGUGAAAAACUCCGGUGGUAUAAGAUGGACCCGCGUCUGAUUAGCUUGUUGGUGAGGUAACGGCUUACCAAGGCGACGAUCAGUAGCCGGCUUGAGAGAGUGAACGGCCACAUUGGGACUGAGACACGGCCCAGACUCCUACGGGAGGCAGCAGUGGGGAAUAUUGCACAAUGGGGGAAACCCUGAUGCAGCGACGCCGCGUGAGUGAAGAAGUAUUUCGGUAUGUAAACCUCUGUGGACAGGGACGAUAAUGACGGUACCUGUUUAGAAAGCCACGGCUAACUACGUG
This 483-nucleotide ribosomal RNA is filed under the name uncultured bacterium. RNAcentral describes it as "bacterial SSU rRNA". It matches the Rfam family "Bacterial small subunit ribosomal RNA", at positions 15 to 507 of the family's 1533-position model. The record is from RNAcentral.